RNAcentral lists this ribosomal RNA (500 nucleotides) under uncultured bacterium. RNAcentral describes it as "partial 16S ribosomal RNA". It matches the Rfam family "Bacterial small subunit ribosomal RNA", at positions 30 to 523 of the family's 1533-position model. The record is from RNAcentral.
AUUGAACGCUGGCGGAAUGCUUUACACAUGCAAGUCGAACGGCAGCACGGGGGCAACCCUGGUGGCGAGUGGCGAACGGGUGAGUAAUACAUCGGAACGUGCCCAGUCGUGGGGGAUAACGUAGCGAAAGUUACGCUAAUACCGCAUACGAUCUACGGAUGAAAGCGGGGGACCGUAAGGCCUCGCGCGAUUGGAGCGGCCGAUGUCAGAUUAGGUAGUUGGUGAGGUAAAGGCUCACCAAGCCGACGAUCUGUAGCUGGUCUGAGAGGACGACCAGCCACACUGGGACUGGGACACGGCCCAGACUCCUACGGGAGGCAGCAGUGGGGAAUUUUGGACAAUGGGCGCAAGCCUGAUCCAGCCAUUCCGCGUGCAGGACGAAGGCCUUCGGGUUGUAAACUGCUUUUGUACGGAACGAAAAGGCUCUGGUUAAUACCUGGGGCUCAUGACGGUACCGUAAGAAUAAGCACCGGCUAACUACGUGCCAGCAGCCGCAGUAA